This 1488-nucleotide ribosomal RNA is filed under the name mine drainage metagenome. Its description in RNAcentral is "bacterial SSU rRNA". It matches the Rfam family "Archaeal small subunit ribosomal RNA". The record is from RNAcentral.
ACUCCAGUCGAUGCUGCUGGAGGGCACUGCUAUCAGAUUUCGACAGCCAUGCAAGUCGGCCCUAUGGCUUCAUAGGACGGCGUACGGCUCAGUAACACGUAGUCAAUCUACCGUAGGGAGGCGGAUAACCUUUGGAAACGAAGGGUAAUACACCAUAGGCUAAAGCAUCUGGAAGGAGCUUUAGCUUAAAAGGUACGCAAAUUGCAGCGCAACCGCCUUACGAUGAGACUGCGGCGGAUCAAGCAGAUGGCGGGAUAACGGCCCACCAUACUUAUAACCCGUAGGGGAUGUGGGAGCAUAGGCCCCGAGAAGGGCACUGAGACAAGGGUCCUAGCGCUACGGCGUGCAGCAGGCGCGCAAACUCCACAAUGCGCGAAAGCGUGAUGGGGGGAAUCUGAGUGGUUCACUUCGGUGAACCUUUUGCUAAGUAUAGCAAGCUUGGCGAAUAAGUGCUGGGCAAGACCGGUGGCAGCCGCCACGGUAAUACCGGCAGCACAAGUGGUGUCCACGAUUAUUGGGCUUAAAGCGCUCGUAGCUGGCCCGUGCCGUCUUGCGUGAAAUAUUGGCGCUCAACGUCAAUGCGUGCGUGAGAUACCCAUGGGCUAGGGAGCGGGUGAGGUAAGGAGUACUUAUGGGGAAGGGGUUAAAUCCUGUAAUCCUAUAAGGACUAACGGUGGCGAAGGCGCCUUACCAGAACGCAUCCGACAGUGAGGAGCGAAGGCUAGGAGAACGAAUCGGAUCAGAUACCCGAGUAGCCCUAGCAGUAAAUUAUGCAGACUCUGGUGUUGCAAAUGUCUCGAACGUUUGCAGUACCGUAGCGAAAGUGUUAAGUCUGCCGCCUGGGGAGUACGGCCGCAAGGUUAAAACUUAAAGCAAUUGGCGGGGGAGCACACCAGGGGUGGAUGCUGCGGUUUAAUUGAAUCCAACGUCGGAAAUAUUACCAGGAGCGACGGCAGGAUGAAGGUCAGACUAAAGAUCUUACCUGACGAGCCGAGAGGUGGUGCAUGGCGACCGUCAGCUCGUGGUGCGAACUGUCCGGUUAAGUCCGGUAACGAGCGAGACCCUUAUGAAUAGUUGCAACCGGUUUAGCGAUAAACCGGGCACUCUAUUUGGACCGCCUCUGUUUAAAGAGGAGGAAGGAGGGGGCGACGAUACGUCAGUAUGCCCUGAAUCUCCUGGGCUACACGCGGCAUACAAAGGUCGAUACAAUGAGAUGCAAUGCCGAAAGGCAAAGCCAAACCCCUAAAACCGACCUAAGUUCGGAUUGAGGGCUGAAACUCGCCCUCAUGAAGAUGGGAUCCCUAGUAAUCGCUUGUCACUAUCGAGCGGUGAAUCUGUCCCUGCUCCUUGCACACACCGCCUGCCAAUCCACCCAAGUGGGGUCCUAGUGAGGCAGCAUCUUUAAGAUGCUUUCGAAUUAAGGUUCUGUGAGGGGGGCUAAGGCGUAACAAGGUAUCCGUAGGGGAACCUGCGGAUAGAUCACCUCAA